RNAcentral lists this non-coding RNA (46 nucleotides) under Schistosoma mansoni. The record is from RNAcentral. Lineage: Eukaryota; Metazoa; Platyhelminthes; Trematoda; Strigeidida; Schistosomatidae.
AUACUGCUGAUGAGUCCCAUAAUAGGACGAAACGGUCGUCCAGUGU